CAGCCCACUACACCGGGUCCACCCACCUCACCUCACAUCCUCUUCCUCUCGUCUCGCCCCCGGCCCCCUUCUUCUCUCCUCUUCGCGGCGACUGCGAAAGCCAUCUAGUAUCUCCUUCCUUCCUUCUCGACUCGCCUACGCCAACGCCAACGCGAGAUAUUUUUGGGCUCCUCGGCCUCGGCGUCCUCGCUCGCCGUCGCGCCCGCGCGGGCAGGGCACGGGAGGGAAGCCAUGAACUGCCUCCAGAACCUGCUCAAGGAGCCUCCAAUCGUGGGAUCCAGGUCCAUGAGGCGGCCCUCGCCGCUCAAUCUGACGAUGGUUCGUGGCGGGAGUCGCCGAUCAAACACUGUCAAAACCGCAUCCGGGGCGUCUACUUCUAGCGCCGAGAGUGGCGCAGUGGAGGCGGGCACGGAGAAAUCCGAUACGUACAGCACCAACAUGACGCAAGCUAUGGGAGCAGUGUUGACGUAUAGACAUGAGCUUGGAAUGAACUACAAUUUCAUACGCCCAGACUUGAUCGUGGGCUCCUGCUUACAGAGCCCACUUGAUGUUGAUAAACUUAGGGACAUUGGUGUAAAAACAGUAUUCUGCCUGCAGCAAGAUCCAGACCUUGAAUAUUUUGGAGUUGACAUCUGUGCCAUUCAAGAAUAUUGUCUACAAUGUAAAGAUAUAGAGCACUGUCGUGCCGAAAUUAGGGAUUUUGAUGCUUUUGAUUUGCGAUUGAGGCUUCCUGCUGUGAUUAGCAAACUGCACAAGCUUGUCAACCAUAAUGGUGGGGUAACAUAUAUACACUGUACCGCUGGACUUGGGAGAGCUCCUGCUGUGACAUUGGCGUAUAUGUUCUGGAUUCUUGGCUACAGUCUUAAUGAAGGGCAUCAGCUACUACAGAGUAAACGAGCUUGCUUUCCAAAGUUGGAAGCCAUUAAAUUGGCUACUGCUGACAUUCUGACAGGCUUAUCAAAGAAUUCCAUCACUUUGAAGUGGGAAAGUGAUAGUUGUUCUUCUGUUGAAAUUUCUGGGCUUGAUGUCGGGUGGGGACAGAUAAUUCCUUUGACAUACAACAAGGAGAAAAGAGCUUGGUAUCUUGAGAGGGAGUUGCCUGAAGGUAUGAAUACAAAUAUAUAGUGGACGGCAAAUGGGUGUGCAAUGACAAUGAGAAGAAGACCAAAGCAAAUGCUGAUGGCCAUGUGAAUAACUACGUCCAGGUCUCCAGGGAUGGUACCAGCGAUGAAGAGAGAGAAUUAAGGGAGCGUUUGACUGGUCAAAAUCCCGAUCUUACGAAGGAGGAAAGGCUGAUGAUUAGAGAGUACUUGGAACAGUACGUUGAGCGAUAGAGGUAAGUUGAAAUUUAUUCAGACUACUAGUAUUGUGUUGCAGGGGUUUUGCUGAUUAUGCUUAUGCAUGAACAUAUCAUUCGGAUUGGACUGCACUAAUCUGCAGAAUUGACAUUGGAUUAUCGACUCGUUUUGGGCUCGCUGUGCAACAGGGAAGACCUGCUGAUGAUCAACAACAGAUCAUGGAGCUUCCCGAUGAACAGAGUAGACGGAGCUUCCAAAUGUUAUCAUCUUGGGUCGCCAUGUCAAUACUAUUAAUUAAUUAGUUCAAAUCAACCCUGUAAAUGGUUUACUCAUGAGUAAUCACGAGUCGUCGCUGUAAACAAACGAUGCAUAAGACGAGCAAUAUGCGUUUGCUCAUAGUAACACUGUGGCCGUAUAACAAGGUAGAAUUAAUAAGGCUGUUAGACUGUAAUAAGGGCUGUUAAUUAACAUAACAGGUUACAAAGUUGUGUAACAUAUAUGUUAUUAAUGCUGACUCGUGAAUGGAAGACAAAUUAAUUUUGUUUGGGACAGUUGCUCCCGAAGUGA
Oryza sativa Japonica Group (Japanese rice) is the source of this 1865-nucleotide non-coding RNA. NCBI's taxonomy places the organism in Eukaryota, Viridiplantae, Streptophyta, Magnoliopsida, Poales, Poaceae. The record is from RefSeq and is a predicted model, not a curated record.